AUUGAACGCUGGCGGCAUGCCUUACACAUGCAAGUCGAACGGUAACAGGUCUUCGGAUGCUGACGAGUGGCGCACGGGUGAGUAAUACAUCGGAACGUGCCCGAUCGUGGGGGAAAACGAGGCGAAAGCUUUGCUAAUACCGCAUACGAUCUACGGAUGAAAGCGGGGGAUCUUCGGACCUCGCGCGGACGGAGCGGCCGAUGGCAGAUUAGGUAGUUGGUGGGAUAAAAGCUUACCAAGCCGACGAUCUGUAGCUGGUCUGAGAGGAUGAUCAGCCACACUGGGACUGAGACACGGCCCAGACUCCUACGGGAGGCAGCAGUGGGGAAUUUUGGACAAUAGGCGAAAGCCUGAUCCAGCCAUGCCGCGUGCAGGAUGAAGGCCUUCGGGUUGUAAACUGCUUUUGUACGGAACGAAAAGCCUCUUUCUAAUAAAGAGGGGUCAUGACGGUACCGUAAGAAUAAGCACCGGCUAACUACGUG
Molecule: ribosomal RNA, 482 nt
Filed under: uncultured bacterium
Lineage: Bacteria
Description: partial 16S ribosomal RNA
Rfam family: Bacterial small subunit ribosomal RNA
Source: RNAcentral